This 107-nucleotide microRNA precursor is filed under the name Pelobates cultripes (western spadefoot toad). The record is from RNAcentral. Lineage: Eukaryota; Metazoa; Chordata; Amphibia; Anura; Pelobatidae.
CCAGCAGACCCUCCCUCCCAGACCCUCCUACUUCCUGGACAGCAUCCAUGACAUGACGAUGCUGUCCAGGAAGUAGGAGGGUCUGGGAGGGAGGGUCUGCUGGAGAU